GGAGAGGUGGCAGAGCGGUUGAAUGCGCCAGUCUCGAAAACUGGAAUAGUCGCAAGGCUAUCGGGGGUUCGAAUCCCCCCCUCUCCGCCA
RNAcentral lists this transfer RNA (90 nucleotides) under Alphaproteobacteria bacterium. RNAcentral's name for it is "tRNA-Ser". It matches the Rfam family "tRNA". From Rfam's summary of the family: Transfer RNA (tRNA) molecules are approximately 80 nucleotides in length. Their secondary structure includes four short double-helical elements and three loops (D, anti-codon, and T loops). The record is from RNAcentral. Lineage: Bacteria; Pseudomonadati; Pseudomonadota; Alphaproteobacteria.